CAUGUACUCCCUCCGUCCGGAAAUACUUGUCGGGAAAUGGAUGUAUCUAGACAUAUGUUAGUUCUAGAUACAUCCAUUUUUAUCAAUUUCUUCGACAAGUAAUUCCGGACGGAGGGAGUAAUCA
Non-coding RNA from Triticum aestivum (bread wheat), 124 nucleotides. The record is from Rfam. NCBI's taxonomy places the organism in Eukaryota, Viridiplantae, Streptophyta, Magnoliopsida, Poales, Poaceae.